This 253-nucleotide ribosomal RNA is filed under the name uncultured bacterium. RNAcentral describes it as "partial 16S ribosomal RNA". It matches the Rfam family "Bacterial small subunit ribosomal RNA", at positions 524 to 776 of the family's 1533-position model. The record is from RNAcentral.
UACGUAGGGUGCAAGCGUUGUCCGGAAUUAUUGGGCGUAAAGAGCUCGUAGGCGGUUUGUCGCGUCUGCUGUGAAAAUCCAGGGCUUAACCCUGGACCUGCAGUGGGUACGGGCAGACUAGAGUGCGGUAGGGGAGAUCGGAAUUCCUGGUGUAGCGGUGAAAUGCGCAGAUAUCAGGAGGAACACCGGUGGCGAAGGCGGCUCUCUAGUACGGUACUGACGCUGAGACGCGAAAGCGUGGGGAGCGAACAGG